GCGCGCUCGCUCGCGCUCUCCUGCCUCCGGCUGCGCGGGGCGGGGCGGGGACGCCGUGUCGAUGUGUCGCCUUCUUCUCCCCCGCACCCUCCGCUGAUGUCACGCGCGCAAGCCCGGGCGCGCCUGGCGCGCGUGGUGGGAAAAGGGGGCGGUGCCGGCGGCGCCCUCAGUGGCACCAUGUAGGGAAUGGAAUGCGGGGGCGGGGCCGCCGCGGCCUCAACCCGGUCACCUCUGCUGGGAAAGCCAGGAGGGGGGAGCGAGCGCAGGGAAAUACGGUAACGGCACAGGAGCGGCAGCGGCCGCCCGGGGAAGACGGGGGCUGGCCCGCCUCCAGCCGCGCUGCCGGCGCUGGAGCUGCGGCGAGACGGCGGAGACGCGGCGAACAGAUGGCCCGGGCUGGAACCGCUCCGGUAGCCCAAGGUGAAGGGCUUGGUGCCACAACCCGCAGUCUUAGCCGCCUGCUGCAGUAA
Molecule: long non-coding RNA, 470 nt
Filed under: Dromaius novaehollandiae (emu)
Lineage: Eukaryota; Metazoa; Chordata; Aves; Casuariiformes; Dromaiidae
Description: lncRNA (ENSDNVG00000017192.1)
Source: RNAcentral